Molecule: ribosomal RNA, 463 nt
Filed under: uncultured Gemmata sp.
Lineage: Bacteria; Pseudomonadati; Planctomycetota; Planctomycetia; Gemmatales; Gemmataceae
Description: bacterial SSU rRNA
Rfam family: Bacterial small subunit ribosomal RNA
Source: RNAcentral
AGAGUUUGAUCCUGGCUCAGAAUGAACGUUGGCGGCGUGGAUUAGGCAUGCAAGUCGAACGAUUCAGCGGGCAACUGCUGAAGAGUGGCGAAAGGGGCAGUAAGGCAUGGGUAACUUACCGCGGGGUUGGGUAUAGCCGUUCUAACGAACGGGUAAUCCCCAGCGAUGUGAUUGAGAGACAUCUCUUGGUCAUCAAAGAUUUAUCGCCCUGUGAGAGGCCCAUGUAGUAUUAGCUAGUUGGUGAGGUAAUGGCUCACCAAGGCCGAGAUGCUUAGCGGGUGUGAGAGCACGACCCGCGCCACUGGCACUGAGACACUAGCCAGACACCUACGGGUGGCUGCAGUCGAGGAUCUUCGGCAAUGGACGCAAGUCUGACCGAGCGACGCCGCGUGAGCGAUGAAGGCCUUCGGGUUGUAAAGCUCGAAAGUGGGGAGAAAAGGCAACUUGAUCUAUCCACAGUAGC